CAAUAUCUUCCAAGUUAUCUUUACUUGGUGUGUUGGGUCUUCGUCCUUUUUCUCUCCUCUCUUGCUACCUAAGCUGGUUGGGAGGGACCUGGACGUACCUGAAAAUUAGUGGCGGUGCCAUGAUAGCCUCAAGCGUAGCAGGCUUCCUCUCGCUUUGGAUGGUCUUGUCGUGUAGCUUGCCGGCCUUUGCAUGCUUAUCUUAAGAU
Molecule: unclassified non-coding RNA, 206 nt
Filed under: uncultured Trichoglossum
Lineage: Eukaryota; Fungi; Ascomycota; Geoglossomycetes; Geoglossales; Geoglossaceae
Description: sequence contains ITS2
Source: RNAcentral